Molecule: transfer RNA, 73 nt
Filed under: Genlisea aurea
Lineage: Eukaryota; Viridiplantae; Streptophyta; Magnoliopsida; Lamiales; Lentibulariaceae
Rfam family: tRNA
About the family: Transfer RNA (tRNA) molecules are approximately 80 nucleotides in length. Their secondary structure includes four short double-helical elements and three loops (D, anti-codon, and T loops). Further hydrogen bonds mediate the characteristic L-shaped molecular structure. tRNAs have two regions of fundamental functional importance: the anti-codon, which is responsible for specific mRNA codon recognition, and the 3' end, to which the tRNAs corresponding amino acid is attached (by aminoacyl-tRNA synthetases). tRNAs cope with the degeneracy of the genetic code in two manners: having more than one tRNA (with a specific anti-codon) for a particular amino acid; and 'wobble' base-pairing, i.e. permitting non-standard base-pairing at the 3rd anti-codon position.
Source: Rfam by way of RNAcentral
GGGUUAAUAUUGUAAUUGGUAAUGAAGUUUCUUGUCAAGAAAUACUAUGUCGGUUCAAGUCCGACUUAACCCG